Molecule: ribosomal RNA, 414 nt
Filed under: uncultured bacterium
Lineage: Bacteria
Description: bacterial SSU rRNA
Rfam family: Bacterial small subunit ribosomal RNA
Source: RNAcentral
UGAGGAAUAUUGGUCAAUGGGCGCAAGCCUGAACCAGCCAUCCCGCGUGCAGGAAGACGGCCCUAUGGGUUGUAAACUGCUUUUCCGGGGGGAGAAUUUUUCCGUCGUGACGGGAAUUGACGGUACCCCGGGAAUAAGCAUCGGCUAACUCCGUGCCAGCAGCCGCGGUAAUACGGAGGAUGCGAGCGUUAUCCGGAUUUAUUGGGUUUAAAGGGUGCGUAGGCGGAAUGAUAAGUCAGUGGUGAAAACCUGCAGCUUAACUGUAGACUUGCCGUUGAUACUGUCAGUCUUGAGUGUGGUCAAGGAAGGCGGAAUGUGUAAUGUAGCGGUGAAAUGCUUAGAUAUUACACAGAACACCGAUUGCGAAGGCAGCUUAAUGGGGCAUUACUGACGCUGAUGCACGAAAGCGUGGGG